GCUUGAUGUCUCCUUUAAACUGCAGUGAGGUCACAUGCCUGUGUUAGUGACAUAGCAGGUUGCCAUGGAGAUAAAGCUUUAUCAGCAACUCUGUCUUACCAUGACUUCACAGCAAGGUCACCAUGAAGCAGAUGGGAUGUGAAGGAGA
Molecule: long non-coding RNA, 148 nt
Filed under: Nannospalax galili (Upper Galilee mountains blind mole rat)
Lineage: Eukaryota; Metazoa; Chordata; Mammalia; Rodentia; Spalacidae
Description: Non-coding RNA BC040587 (ENSNGAG00000008900.1)
Rfam family: Non-coding RNA BC040587
About the family: Deletion of this gene is associated with poor survival of osteosarcoma patients.
Source: RNAcentral